This is a long non-coding RNA of Daucus carota subsp. sativus, 2383 nucleotides long. RefSeq lists it as uncharacterized. NCBI's taxonomy places the organism in Eukaryota, Viridiplantae, Streptophyta, Magnoliopsida, Apiales, Apiaceae. The transcript has 4 exons. The record is from RefSeq and is a predicted model, not a curated record.
CGCCAUAAGUGGGCUACUGCAAUGGUAUUUCGAAAGUGUUACAAGCACUUCGUUGCGGUAGCUCAAAAAACUGAGGUCUAUUGUAACACGGUGAAAUCGGUGUUACAAUAGUCGUUAACCUAGUGUUACAUGAAUGUGAUGGUGUUACACGAUAUGUAACACUAGCAACUGGUGUUACAAUAGAUAGUAUUUUUAUUUUUUUCCAAUUAAAGUAAAUAUUUAUCAUAAAAUUACAUUUUUAAUUAUAUUCUGGAUUAUUAAUUACUGUAAAAUAUUAUAUUUCAUAUUUUAACUUUUUUUUAAAUUUUUUGCAUUUUAUUUCAAAAACAAAUAAUUAUAUAUAAAAUUAAAAAAGACACUUUUUACUUAUAUAAUAAAAUAAUCUGUUAAUUAUUAAUACAAAGUAAAAUCAAAAUGUUAUUAUCGAGGUGAAUUGUCUGGGCGGUAGUUUUCCCCCCAACUGAAAAUUAGGCCAAGUCAAAACACACUCACAUCACAAAGACACUCUGUCUCGAACAUACUCUCCCUCUCUCUUUCUCUCUCGAACACACUCUCUCGGCUCUCAGCUUUCUUCUUCGAUUCAAGCAUGGAUUCAGGCAUCGAUUAGGUAAUUAGGGUUCGUCGAUUUGGGGUUCUUCGAUUAACUGGGGAUUGAAGUUUCUGAGGGGAUUUAACUUUUUGAGGGGAUUGAAGUUUUAUACAUUUUAAGGGUUUCAUUGGGUAAAAAGCUUUGAUUAAGGUAAAAAGCUUUCAAUGGGUUUAUGUCUUUAUAUGUUUAUGUGUUUAAUUUUAAUUUUUUGUAUUUGCUCGAUUGGGUUUAUUUUGUGUUCGAUUGGGUUUAUUUUGAGUAUCAUUGGGUUGAUACAUGAUAUUUAGGUAUGGGUUUUCAGAGACUAGAUUUGAUUGUCAUGAGCUUCUUUAGUGUAUGUUUAAACCUAAUUCACUGCAUUUAUUUUGUUGAUAAAUUGAUUGUUGUUGGUCGAUUCGUGCAUAUGUGAUUAACAGUAGACUUUUGGUAUACAAGUGUGUACUUGUCAGUGGUUUACAAAGUGUUAUUGUUCAGGUUAUUAAGGUGAUAAAGAAAGCACAGAGGAUUGGGACAGGGUUAGUCCUGCUAUUCUUCUCAAAGCAGAUGGUUUUGUCUUAGUUGCAUUUCAAACAUAUAAUUCUUCGACAUUUGGAUUCCUCUUUAAUUUCUAAUUUGAUUGUGGAAGAAAGAACACGAUACAGUUUACUCCAUGUUCAUUUCAUUAGUCUCAGAGUAGUUUGAUUUGUUAUGACCGUACAGAUUCUAACAAUUUUAUGGCUACUGGAUAAUCAUACAGUACAUAUGAACUUUCAAGAAUCAGCAAAAAUGAUUAUUCCAGCAAUUUUAUGGCUCCAUAUUGUAAGGAUUCCAAGGACUAGAAAUACAGUUAUGCAGUUAUGUUCAUGGUUCUCAUUAUUUAAAGAAUAAUAAUAAAGCCAAGGAGUCUGAUAAUUUUUUAGCUUUUCAUGCUUGCAGGCAUAUGACAUACGGUCCAGAAUAUAUUUUAUCCAGAGGUAACCAAGAAUCAUUUUAAAGAUCUUGCUUACAUUUGUGUUAGUGGUGAAGGCACCAGUUUGCAAAAGUUACUUGUUUAUACAGACUCUACACGUGACGUAGCAAGCUUGAAUCAGAGGAAGAGGAAGUUGAAGAGGUUGAGGAUAAAAAAGAAGCGACACAAGAAGAACCUUAAACUAGGGAAGAUAGGCAAAAACACAGGACAUCAAGUCUGUUAGCUGGCAUAAGGCGCUUCAGUUUACAUGGAUGGUGCUCUCUCUAUUGUAUACCAUGUUAUCCACUAGUUUGUUCCACUGUCUAGUUCUUUUAUCAUAGUUUGGGCAUGUAUCGGGGUAGUUGUUGAAAUAGAUGAGAAUGAUAUGGAAAUGUAGUUUAAUAUUGUGUUGUUAGGAUUGUUGUCUCACAGAGCAUAUUUGAUAUAGGGAUUGUUGUUUAAAUGGAGCAUGUAUUUUAAAAUUUAUAUAUUAAGUGUUACAUUAGCCUCGUUUACUGUUAUAGUAUCUUAGAUUUAGUGUUACAUUAUUUCUACCUGCUGUUAUAUUAUUGUGAACUUUAGUGUUGCAAUAAAUAAAUAUACUGUUACAAUAGGUUAUGUGGACCCCACGGGUGGGCCCCAAAUGUAGGACCCACUUUAAGGCCCUCUUAUGGGGCCCACUUUAAAAAAAUCAGUCAAGCUAUUGUAACAUUUUUCAGGUGUUACAUUUGGACAUUCUGAUGUUACAAUAAGGUCCUAUUGUAAUGUUUUUACUGGUGUUACAAUAGAUCAAACAUGUGUUACAAUAGACAGGCUAUUGUAAUGCUCGCAGAUGUAACGCCCCGUAGUGUUACAAUAGACCAAUU